RNAcentral lists this ribosomal RNA (468 nucleotides) under uncultured bacterium. Its description in RNAcentral is "partial 16S ribosomal RNA". It matches the Rfam family "Bacterial small subunit ribosomal RNA", at positions 28 to 507 of the family's 1533-position model. The record is from RNAcentral.
GACGAACGCUGGCGGCGUGCUUAACACAUGCAAGUCGAACGGAAAGGCCCUGCUUUUGUGGGGUGCUCGAGUGGCGAACGCGUGAGUAACACGUGAGUAACCUGCCCUUGACUUUGGGAUAACUUCAGGAAACUGGGGCUAAUCCCGGAUAGGAGCUCCUGCUGCAUGGUGGGGGUUGGAAAGUUUCGGCGGUUGGGGAUGGACUCGCGGCUUAUCAGCUUGUUGGUGGGGUAGUGGCUGACCAAGGCUUUGACGGGUAGCCGGCCUGAGAGGGUGACCGGCGACAUGGGGACUGAGAGACGGCCCAGACUCCAACGGGAGGCAGCAGUGGGGAAUAUUGCACAAUGGGCGCAAGCCUGAGGCAGCAACGCCGCGGGCGGGAUGACGGCCUUCGGGUUGUAAACCGCUUUCGCCUGUGACGAAGCGUGAGUGACGGUAAUGGGUAAAGAAGCACCGGCUAACUACGUG